Molecule: ribosomal RNA, 468 nt
Filed under: uncultured bacterium
Lineage: Bacteria
Description: partial 16S ribosomal RNA
Rfam family: Bacterial small subunit ribosomal RNA
Source: RNAcentral
GACGAACGCUGGCGGCGUGCUUAACACAUGCAAGUCGAACGGAAAGGCCCUGCUUUUGUGGGGUGCUCGAGUGGCGAACGGGUGAGUAACACGUGAGUAACCUGCCCUUGACUUUGGGAUAACUUCAGGAAACUGGGGCUAAUACCGGAUAUGAGCUCCUGCUGCAUGGAGGGGGUUGGAAAGUUUCGGCGGUUGGGGAUGGACUCGCGGCUUAUCAGCUUGCUGGUGGGGUAGUGGCUUACCAAGGCUUUGACGGGUAGCCGGCCUGAGAGGGUGACCGGGCACAUUGGGCCUGCGGGACGGCCCAGACUCCUACGGGAGGCAGUGGUGGCGAGUAUUGCCCAGUGAGCGGGAGCGUGAUGUGGAGACGCCGCGUUCGGGAUGACGGCCUGCGGGUUGUAAACCGCUUUCGCCUGAGACGAAGCGUUAGUGACGGUAAUGGGUAAAGAAGCACCGGCUAACUACGUG